RNAcentral lists this ribosomal RNA (585 nucleotides) under Achromobacter sp. HRTP101. Its description in RNAcentral is "bacterial SSU rRNA". It matches the Rfam family "Bacterial small subunit ribosomal RNA", at positions 102 to 683 of the family's 1533-position model. Lineage: Bacteria; Pseudomonadati; Pseudomonadota; Betaproteobacteria; Burkholderiales; Alcaligenaceae. The record is from RNAcentral. RNAcentral also lists the same sequence under 1 other name.
ACGGGUGAGUAAUGUAUCGGAACGUGCCUAGUAGCGGGGGAUAACUACGCGAAAGCGUAGCUAAUACCGCAUACGCCCUACGGGGGAAAGCAGGGGAUCGCAAGACCUUGCACUAUUAGAGCGGCCGAUAUCGGAUUAGCUAGUUGGUGGGGUAACGGCUCACCAAGGCGACGAUCCGUAGCUGGUUUGAGAGGACGACCAGCCACACUGGGACUGAGACACGGCCCAGACUCCUACGGGAGGCAGCAGUGGGGAAUUUUGGACAAUGGGGGAAACCCUGAUCCAGCCAUCCCGCGUGUGCGAUGAAGGCCUUCGGGUUGUAAAGCACUUUUGGCAGGAAAGAAACGUCAUGGGUUAAUACCCCGUGAAACUGACGGUACCUGCAGAAUAAGCACCGGCUAACUACGUGCCAGCAGCCGCGGUAAUACGUAGGGUGCAAGCGUUAAUCGGAAUUACUGGGCGUAAAGCGUGCGCAGGCGGUUCGGAAAGAAAGAUGUGAAAUCCCAGAGCUUAACUUUGGAACUGCAUUUUUAACUACCGAGCUAGAGUGUGUCAGAGGGAGGUGGAAUUCCGCGUGUAGCAGUG